AUAAAAGGCAUGAAUGAAAGGAAAUAUUACAAUCAAUUUUGCAGCCUUUUCAAUAUAGAAUCAAAAUAUAAUAAUAAAAACAAGCUAACAAGUUGGCUUGGAUUUCUAUUUAAAGCAAAAUAAUAACAACAUCAUAGCAGAGAAAUACACACUGCAACUUAGACUUGGUACAACAAAAGAAUAACAACAUCACAAUAGAGCAACAC
RNAcentral lists this long non-coding RNA (206 nucleotides) under Lathyrus oleraceus (garden pea). Its description in RNAcentral is "Pisum sativum (pea) long non-coding RNA (PSAT_LNC030687)". The record is from RNAcentral. Lineage: Eukaryota; Viridiplantae; Streptophyta; Magnoliopsida; Fabales; Fabaceae.